This 441-nucleotide ribosomal RNA is filed under the name uncultured bacterium. RNAcentral's name for it is "partial 16S ribosomal RNA". It matches the Rfam family "Bacterial small subunit ribosomal RNA", at positions 338 to 795 of the family's 1533-position model. The record is from RNAcentral.
CCUACGGGAGGCAGCAGUGGGGAAUAUUGGGCAAUGGAGGAAACUCUGACCCAGCAACGCCGCGUGAAGGAUGAAGGUUUUCGGAUUGUAAACCUCUUUUGCGAGGGAUGAAAAAUGACGGACCCUCGUGAGGAAGCGCCGGCAAACUACGUGCCAGCAGCCGCGGUAAUACGUAGGGGGCAAGCGUUGUCCGGAAUGACUGGGCGUAAAGGGAGUGAAGGCGGCCUUUUAAGUUAUAGGUGAAAGCCCCGGGCUUAACCAAGGAACUGCCUAUAAAACUGGAGGGCUGGAGUGCAGGAGAGGUAAGCGGAAUUCCUAGUGUAGCGGUGGAAUGCGUAGAUAUUAGGAAGAACACCGGAGGCGAAGGCGGCUUACUGGACUGUAACUGACGCUGAGGCUCGAAAGCGUGGGGAGCAAACAGGAUUAGAUACCCCAGUAGUC